UCCAUAGGUUAAUGAGGCGAACCGGGGGAACUGAAACAUCUAAGUACCCCGAGGAAAAGAAAUCAACCGAGAUUCCCCCAGUAGCGGCGAGCGAACGGGGAGCAGCCCAGAGCCUGAAUCAGUGUGUGUGUUAGUGGAAGCGUCUGGAAAGGCGCGCGAUACAGGGUGACAGCCCCGUACACAAAAAUGCACAUAUUGUGAGCUCGAUGAGUAGGGCGGGACACGUGGUAUCCUGUCUGAAUAUGGGGGGCCCAUCCUCCAAGGCUAAAUACUCCUGACUGACCGAUAGUGAACCAGUACCGUGAGGGAAAGGCGAAAAGAACCCCGGCGAGGGGAGUGAAAAAGAACCUGAAACCGUGUACGUACAAGCAGUGGGAGCACGCUUAGGCGUGUGACUGCGUACCUUUUGUAUAAUGGGUCAGCGACUUAUAUUCUGUAGCAAGGUUAACCGAAUAGGGGAGCCGAAGGGAAACCGAGUCUUAACUGGGCGUUAAGUUGCAGGGUAUAGACCCGAAACCCGGUGAUCUAGCCAUGGGCAGGUUGAAGGUUGGGUAACACUAACUGGAGGACCGAACCGACUAAUGUUGAAAAAUUAGCGGAUGACUUGUGGCUGGGGGUGAAAGGCCAAUCAAACCGGGAGAUAGCUGGUUCUCCCCGAAAGCUAUUUAGGUAGCGCCUCGUGAAUUCAUCUCCGGGGGUAGAGCACUGUUUCGGCA
This 716-nucleotide ribosomal RNA is filed under the name Shigella sonnei. RNAcentral describes it as "partial 23S ribosomal RNA". It matches the Rfam family "Bacterial large subunit ribosomal RNA", at positions 163 to 920 of the family's 2925-position model. The record is from RNAcentral. Lineage: Bacteria; Pseudomonadati; Pseudomonadota; Gammaproteobacteria; Enterobacterales; Enterobacteriaceae.